Long non-coding RNA from Symsagittifera roscoffensis, 1866 nucleotides. RefSeq lists it as uncharacterized. Lineage: Eukaryota; Metazoa; Xenacoelomorpha; Acoela; Convolutidae. The transcript has 3 exons. The record is from RefSeq and is a predicted model, not a curated record.
UCUGUGUCGAUCAAAUCGACAGUUUUGACAUGAAGCUAUCAGAAAUAUAUUCCAACAGUGUUCGACAAAAACAAUGUAGCAUUAUUGAUGUUAUUUCUUGCAAAGAUUUCCAAAAUUAUCAAAAUGCUGAUUUGAGUAGCAUUUCUGUUGUUGACAUACUAUUAGACCAGAUAUCGAAAAAAAUUUUCGAAUGUUUAACGACUUCUGAGAAGUUUAUUGUAGCUUGCGCUUUCAAAAAUUCUCUUUCGGGUCUUCUAGUUUUUCUUAUGUGCGCGAAGAACAACCUGGUUUAUUACCCAGUUGACAAUGCAAUAGAAAUCAGUACUCUCGAAAAUUCAUUGAAACCUUUGAGAGCUAAAUUCUACCUUUGUGGCAAAUUACUACCGGAAUCAAGUAAUUUUUGUCAUUUGGUUGGAACCGUUAUUGGCGGGGAAAUAUUUAUCUAUCGACUUAAUUUCGAGCUUAAUAAAACCAUUUUAUUACCGGAAAUUGAAGUAAAGCCUGAUUGGCUGAACGACUUAGCUUAUGUUAUUUCCACUUCGGGUACGACUGGGUUACGUAAGCACGUCCUAGUAUCGAACCAAUCUAUUAUCUCUAAUGUAAAUUGUAUUGUAGACCGAUUGGCCUUGAAAAGUGAUGAAGUUAUAGCACAAAACACUAGUUAUUUGUUCGACCCGUUUUUUGUUGAAGUUAUAUCUUGGCUUAUAACUGGAAGCACAUUGCUGAUUUUUCCGCUGGAAUUUAAACUCAAUUUUGAAAAGUUCCACAAUUUGAUUACGACGCAUAAUGUUACGUUUUUGCAAACGACGCCUAGCUCUUUGGCAAUUUUGGGCGCAGAAAAUAUUGGAAAAAUGCUUCUGCAUAAUAAAUCGUCUCUUCGUAACUUAGCUUUAGGCGGCGAAGCGUUUCCGGGAUCUCUUCUUGCCUGGAAAUCAAAAUCAAACAAAACGAGGAUAUUCAAUUUUUAUGGAUUGACUGAACUUUCCUGCUGGGCUACUCUAUGUGAAAUCUCAUUCGAUCAAUCAAGUUUUAAGAACGAUUUGAUUGGCCUUGAAGUCGACCGAGCAGAAAAGAGACCAGUGUUUGCGGAUGUUGCCAUUGGAGAAGCAAUGGCCGAUACAGAGCUGGAUUUCCGCAAACUUGAAAAUGGCUCUAAUGACGAAUUGUACUCGUUGACUUUACGAUCUCGAAAACGACUUUGUUCUGUUCUACAAUCUGGGCAAUCCCUCAUAGAUUUGUACAAACUACAAGAAGGCGAAAUAUUCCGCAGUGAAACUAUUGUUCAUACGAAUGAUUUAUUCGAAAAUGUAGAAAGCAAAUGGGUCUUCAGAGGGAGAGCUGACAACGAAGUUAAAAUGUUAGGGAGGGGGUUAAAUCUGGAUGGGAUUAAACAGCUUGUUCUGGACUAUAGUGACGACGAAAUAUCAGGAUGCGUUAUCGAGUUUUCUUUCUUAGUUUAACACUUUAUCGAUUAUCCGCAUUUUGAUUGAAAAGAGUUCAACCAAUUAGUUGAUUGGAUUUUGUAAAUUGUUUUCAUUUAAUGCAAGGGGAACUUCAUACAAGGUUCAAAUUUCGUUUAUGCUGAACAUUUUCAUGCUUGGACUGGUUUUUUAAGGGCGAAGUUCUUUCCAGGACUCACAUGGAGAAAUAAUUAACAAGUUCUGGUUGAUUUGAGGGUAUCCCUCAUUUCUAAUAGUUUCAGGAAGUUUGUAGAGCCCUUUUUUGAAGAUGUAUUCCAAAAGUUUUAAAGGAUGCCUCAAUUUAUUUCUUGGAAGCCAUUUUUGUCGAAAGCUGUUUUCGCCAAUUUUUUAGCUAAAGAUAUUUGAAGAUUUUUGAAAGUCAUCCUUAGUGACAUUGAAUUUAAUU